GUAGCUUGCUACCCGCUGACGAGCGGCGGACGGGUGAGUAAUGCAUAGGAAUCUGCCCGRUAGUGGGGGAUAACCUGGGGAAACCCAGGCUAAUACCGCAUACGUCCUACGGGAGAAAGGGGGCUYCGGCUCCCGCUAUUGGAUGAGCCUAUGUCGGAUUAGCUAGUUGGUAAGGUAAUGGCUUACCAAGGCAACGAUCCGUAGCUGGUCUGAGAGGAUGAUCAGCCACAUCGGGACUGAGACACGGCCCGAACUCCUACGGGAGGCAGCWGUGGGGAAUAUUGGACAAUGGGGGCAACCCUGAUCCAGCCAUGCCGCGUGUGUGAAGAAGGCCCUCGGGUUGUAAAGCACUUUCAGCGAGGAAGAACGCCUAUCGGUUAAUACCCGGUAGGAAAGACAUCACUCGCARAAGAAGCACCGGCUAACUCCGUGCCAGCAGCCGCGGUAAUACGGAGGGUGCAAGCGUUAAUCGGAAUUACUGGGCGUAAAGCGCGCGUAGGUGGCUUGAUAAGCCGGUUGUGAAAGCCCCGGGCUCAACCUGGGAACGGCAUCCGGAACUGUCAGGCUAGAGUGCAGGAGAGGAAGGUAGAAUUCCCGGUGUAGCGGUGAAAUGCGUAKAGAUCGGGAGGAAUACCASUGGCGAAAGGCGG
Molecule: ribosomal RNA, 650 nt
Filed under: Vreelandella titanicae
Lineage: Bacteria; Pseudomonadati; Pseudomonadota; Gammaproteobacteria; Oceanospirillales; Halomonadaceae
Description: bacterial SSU rRNA
Rfam family: Bacterial small subunit ribosomal RNA
Source: RNAcentral